Molecule: non-coding RNA, 340 nt
Organism: Pelobates cultripes (western spadefoot toad)
Lineage: Eukaryota; Metazoa; Chordata; Amphibia; Anura; Pelobatidae
Source: the annotation of a GenBank genome assembly
GGGAGUGGUGAGUUUGAAGAUCAGGGGAAUACACCAAAAUAUCGUCCAAAUAAACCAAGACAAAUGAGUAAAUGAAUUCCCUGAGUACAUCAUUUAUAAAGUCUUGGAAUACGGCCGGGGCAUUGCAUAACCCAAAUGGCAUUACCAGAUAUUCAUGGUGUCCACUACGGGUAUUAAAUGCCGUCUUCCACUCAUGAUUCUCUUUAAUUCUAACCAAAUUGUAAGCGCUCCUAAGGUCAAGCUUAGUAAAUACUUAGCUCCCUGAAGUCUAUCGAACAAUUCGGAAAUGAGUGGGAUAGGGUAUGCAUUUUUUACAGUGAUUUUAUUAAGUGCCCUGUAG